UGAAAUCUGGCCUUCGGGUCCGAGUUGUAAUUUGUAGAGGAUGCUUUUGGUGCGGUACCUUCCGAGUUCCCUGGAACGGGACGCCAUAGAGGGUGAGAGCCCCGUCUGGUCGGAUACCAAUCCUCUGUAAAGCUCCUUCGACGAGUCGAGUAGUUUGGGAAUGCUGCUCUAAAUGGGAGGUAUAUGUCUUCUAAAGCUAAAUAUUGGCCAGAGACCGAUAGCGCACAAGUAGAGUGAUCGAAAGAUGAAAAGCACUUUGAAAAGAGGGUUAAACAGUACGUGAAAUUGUUGAAAGGGAAGCGCUUAUGACCAGACUUGGGCCCGAUUAAUCAUCCAGCGUUUUCGCUGGUGCACUUGGUCGGCCCAGGCCAGCAUCAGUUCGGCGUGGGGGAUAAAGGCAUCGGGAAUGUGGCUCCUCCGGGAGUGUUAUAGCCCGUUGCGUAAUACCCUGUACUGGACUGAGGUUCGCGCAUCUGCAAGGAU
This 483-nucleotide ribosomal RNA is filed under the name Fusarium merismoides var. chlamydosporale. Its description in RNAcentral is "eukaryotic LSU rRNA". It matches the Rfam family "Eukaryotic large subunit ribosomal RNA", at positions 116 to 624 of the family's 3401-position model. Lineage: Eukaryota; Fungi; Ascomycota; Sordariomycetes; Hypocreales; Nectriaceae. The record is from RNAcentral.